GCAGGAACCAUCAAGUAAUGGUUUAGUUGGUAUUUGAGGAGACAAAUGGAAAAUACACUUCCAAUUUCACCUUUUUAUCACACUGUCUACAAACCAGGCAGUAAAAGUAAAUAAAAAUGAAACUACAUAAAUCGACACAAAACUAACAGAAUGAUGUUAACCUAGCAGUUAAAAUCAUUUUCAACACAAUAAAAAAAACACACUUUCCUUCACAUACUAGGCACAAUAUAAUCUAAAGCAGGACACCGGCUCUCUGUACCUUUCUUUGUGCAGGAAACUUUCCUUCCAAAUCAUACUUGGUUAUCAUUUACAGCAACAGGCAAUGGAUGUGGCUUGGUCGGAGAUAUUUAUUUAGCUUUCGCUGUUACAGAAAAGAAAAAAAACCAAUGAGCACAAACCUGAAAGACUUGGCAAUAACAAUAAUCAAACAAACAAAAGACUGAGCAACAGGCAAUGGACUACCGAAAAAAAUAUUGCUUGUGUCUUGAUUUAUGCACUUACCAAGAUUUAUGGUCAUUCCAAAAUCGUUCCACUUUAGCCUCCACUUAUUUUCCUAAAGAUACUUGAUCUCAGAUCACUGGUGGAAACUCGUUUCUUCCUUUUGCAGUCCUCUGAUUUGAUUUCAAUGGCAUCCCAGAACACUGACAAUGAACUAGAAUCAAUCAAUCAAGCAAUGCUUAAUUUGGCAAUUCAAUCUACUAUCUUCUCUCCAAACAUGGAAAUAGACAAAGAACAAACAAGAGUUUAUUUUUAUAGUUUCAAAAGAUUGAAUCCCAAUUUACUCCAUUCCACCAUGAUUUUUUUUGAAAUUAACACUUUUAAAGCGGAAACAUUUGAUUUUGAAAUUUCAUAAAAGUAGAAAAAGGGGUAAGAUUGAAAAUUGUUAGCAAAAAAGGUAAUUGAAUAGGUCAAAUGAGAGUAUGUAUGUAUGUAUGUGUAUCAGUGUAUUGUAUGAAUGUAUGAUUACCACUUACACUGGAACAGCAACAAUGUCGAGACAAGCAUCUCGUAUUGAAUUGGAAGAUUUGGCCAUCGAUUUCAAUUAAUCCUUUCGCCAGCCCGCCCGCCCACCCUUUGAAGGAAAUGAACUCAAGUACUCAACUGGUUUUCGUCGUCUCGGUCCUUCUACUGUAUGUCUGUGUUUGUUGUAACGUAGAGUAUUGG
Molecule: long non-coding RNA, 1164 nt
Filed under: Aquilegia coerulea
Lineage: Eukaryota; Viridiplantae; Streptophyta; Magnoliopsida; Ranunculales; Ranunculaceae
Description: long non-coding RNA (ACOE_LNC001253)
Source: RNAcentral